Molecule: ribosomal RNA, 382 nt
Filed under: Zoothamnium plumula
Lineage: Eukaryota; Ciliophora; Oligohymenophorea; Sessilida; Zoothamnidae
Description: eukaryotic LSU rRNA
Rfam family: 5.8S ribosomal RNA (bases 45-190)
Source: RNAcentral
CCUAUUCUUAGGUUUAAUCGUUAACUAACUUCCUAAAUAUCUUAAAUUUUCAACGAUGGAUAUCUAGGCUCCUAUAACGAUGAAGAACGCAGCGAAAUGCGAUACGCAAUGCGAAUUGCAGAACCGUGAGUCAUCAGAUCUUUGAACGCAAGUGGCGGCAUCUUCGGAUGUCAUGUUUGUUUCAGUGUGUUCGGUUAAUUACAUCGUAGAACUUAAUGUGAUUGAAGCGAUUCUCUCACUGAGUACGGGGUUGCGUCAGCGCGAACAUUCCACGAACUAGUCACUAACUUGGUGAUAAUCGUGAAAGUGGUCAAGCUGUAGAAUCGUAACUCGAUAAACGAAUAUCCAAUCAUAACACCUGAAACAAGCAAGAUUACCCGCU